ACCAAUCCCGUGCUUUCACGGCCUUAACAAUAUCACUUGCUCCUGGCAGAUGAUGAUCCCACGGCUCAGAGAUGGGCGAAAUCUGCCCAAAAGCUCUCAGCUCUUCUGAGCAGCGCUCUUGCACACUCAGUGACGACCGUGGCAUAAAGUAGUUCAAACGGCUUGGAGGGACUGAUGUUGCAAACAUAAACGAGGUUCUCCAUUGGAAAUCUCUCACAUGCGCUGUUCUUGUGGCUGGCAGGUUGGCGCUGGCACGUAUUCCUGUGCUCAUAUUUUAGCUUCCUGCGGGACUCAGAACGAAGUCCCUAUAACACGGCAGUGCCUUGAGAAAUAGUCACAGGACAAGCAAGCCCCGGAAGCUGAUUUUGUUCUUGGACUGUGAGGAGCAGCGGCCAAGCUUGGCAAGUGAUGGACGAGGAAGAUGAUGGCAUAGAGAACAGGAAAAUCAGCUGUGAAGACUGUGCUGAGCAGCGGGAAAGACAGAGAGGAGAAGGAAGGUGCUAGAACAGGGACCAGCUUCCUAUAAAAUAGUGGUCACCCUUCAAGAAGCCAGAUUCCACAGUCUAAAGAGAAAAGCUCAUGCCUCCCCUCUGGGACAGGGUGACAAACAUCCCAUUCUGUGACAUCAUCCUGUGCCGUGUCAUCAUCCUUGCUGUGACAUUGUUCUGUGCUGUGACAUCAUCCUGUUCUGUGACACCCCAUGAUGUGACAUCAUCCCUUACUAUGAUCCAACAGUUCUCAACUUAUGACAUCUGACUUCCAUCCUCUUUGUCAUUUACUGUAUGUUGUACUAAAUCAGAUGACGGGAACUUCCCACUAGCUGAACUUAUAAAAUCUUGACACUCCCUUUGUUUGGGGGCUUUGUUCAGGGGGAUUUGCUGUGGAUAUCCACUCUGAAGAGGUCCCUCUGGCCUCCCCUGAUCUCAGUUUUUUUUUCCUUUCCUUUCCCCUAUGCCUCUAUGACUCUCCCUUUAAUGAAGCUUUUCUCGGGUUGUAAAGGGAUGUCUCUCCUCCAUUUUAAGGCUCCAUCAUGUUUAGGUCUCAGCACACUGUACUGUCUCUAAUGUUCAUGGCCUUGAUACCCUUCUCUCAAUAUAAUGCAUCUUCUGGAGGGAAUUGUGGUCAGCUUCCUUUCUGGACCAACUGCUACUGUUUUUAAUAGUUACUUCUUUAAUUAUAUCCAACACGAGAGAAGGAUAGAGAGGAGGAAGGAGAAAUGGAAGGAAAGAAGG
This is a non-coding RNA of Myodes glareolus (Bank vole), 1232 nucleotides long. Lineage: Eukaryota; Metazoa; Chordata; Mammalia; Rodentia; Cricetidae. The record is from RefSeq and is a predicted model, not a curated record.